ACUACGGGAGGCAGCAGUGGGGAAUAUUGCACAAUGGGGGGAACCCUGAUGCAGCGACGCCGCGUGAGUGAAGAAGUAUUUCGGUAUGUAAAGCUCUAUCAGCAGGGAAGAAAAUGACGGUACCUGACUAAGAAGCCCCGGCUAACUACGUGCCAGCAGCCGCGGUAAUACGUAGGGGGCAAGCGUUAUCCGGAUUUACUGGGUGUAAAGGGAGCGCAGACGGCUGUGCAAGUCUGGAGUGAAAGGCGGGGGCCCAACCCCCGGACUGCUCUGGAAAAUGUAAAGCUGGAGUGCAGGAGAGGUAAGCGGAAUUCCUAGUGUAGCGGUGAAAUGCGUAGAUAUUAGGAGGAACACCAGUGGCGAAGGCGGCUUACUGGACUGCAACUGACGUUGAGGCUCGAAAGCGUGGGGAGCAAACAGGAUUAGAUACCCUUGUAGUC
Molecule: ribosomal RNA, 440 nt
Filed under: uncultured bacterium
Lineage: Bacteria
Description: partial 16S ribosomal RNA
Rfam family: Bacterial small subunit ribosomal RNA
Source: RNAcentral